AAGGAUCAUUACUGAUAUUUGCGCUUAAUUGCGCGAAAUACACUGUGUUUAUUAUUAAACUGCUUUGGCGGAGCGAUUCGCCAAAAACUCAACAAAUCUUAUUAUUUUUUAGUCAACGAUUAUUAAUAUCAAAACUUUCAACAACGGAUCUCUUGGUUCUCGCAUCGAUGAAGAACGCAGCGAAAUGCGAUAAGUAAUAUGAAUUGCAGAUAUUCGUGAAUCAUCGAAUCUUUGAACGCACAUUGCGCCUUGUGGUAUUCCACAAGGCAUGUCUGUUUGAGCGUCAUUUCUCUCUCAAACCUCUGGUUUGGUUUUGGAAGAUAAGCUACUUUCUUCUGAAAAGCAUUGGCGAAGCGGUGCAAAGCUGUCACGUAUUAGGUUCUACCAACUCGUAACACGCUAAGUACAAGGCCCCGCCUAAUAAACCCCACCAAGUUUGACCUCAAAUCAGAUAGGACUACCCGCUGAACUUAA
Molecule: ribosomal RNA, 474 nt
Filed under: Schwanniomyces sp. NYNU 16746
Lineage: Eukaryota; Fungi; Ascomycota; Pichiomycetes; Serinales; Debaryomycetaceae
Description: eukaryotic LSU rRNA
Rfam family: 5.8S ribosomal RNA (bases 133-286)
Source: RNAcentral